RNAcentral lists this transfer RNA (69 nucleotides) under Bos taurus (domestic cattle). It matches the Rfam family "tRNA". From Rfam's summary of the family: Transfer RNA (tRNA) molecules are approximately 80 nucleotides in length. Their secondary structure includes four short double-helical elements and three loops (D, anti-codon, and T loops). The record is from Rfam by way of RNAcentral. Lineage: Eukaryota; Metazoa; Chordata; Mammalia; Artiodactyla; Bovidae. RNAcentral also lists the same sequence under 4 other names.
CCUGGUGGCUCAGAUGGUAAAGCAUCUGCCUGCAAUGCAGGAGACCCGGGUUCAAUGCCUGGGUCAGGA